Molecule: ribosomal RNA, 254 nt
Filed under: uncultured bacterium
Lineage: Bacteria
Description: partial 16S ribosomal RNA
Rfam family: Bacterial small subunit ribosomal RNA
Source: RNAcentral
CACGUAGGGUGCAAGCGUUGUCCGGAAUCAUUGGGCGUAAAGAGCUCGUAGGCGGCUUAGCAAGUCGGGUGUGAAAACUCCAGGCUCAACCUGGAGACGCCACUCGAGACUGCUAUGGCUAGAGUCCGGUAGGGGACCACGGAAUUCCUGGUGUAGCGGUGAAAUGCGCAGAUAUCAGGAGGAACACCGGUGGCGAAGGCGGUGGUCUGGGCCGGCACUGACGCUGAGGAGCGAAAGCGUGGGGAGCAAACAGG